UGGGGAAUUUUUGGACAAUGGGCGAAAGCCUGAUCCAGCAAUGCCGCGUGUGUGAAGAAGGCCUUCGGGUUGUAAAGCACUUUUGUCCGGAAAGAAAUCCUUGGCUCUAAUACAGUCGGGGGAUGACGGUACCGGAAGAAUAAGCACCGGCUAACUACGUGCCAGCAGCCGCGGUAAUACGUAGGGUGCAAGCGUUAAUCGGAAUUACUGGGCGUAAAGCGUGCGCAGGCGGUUUGCUAAGACCGAUGUGAAAUCCCCGGGCUCAACCUGGGAACUGCAUUGGUGACUGGCAGGCUAGAGUAUGGCAGAGGGGGGUAGAAUUCCACGUGUGAGCAGUGAAAUGCGUAGAGAUGUGGAGGAAUACCGAUGGCGAAGGCAGCCCCCUGGGCCAAAUACUGACGCUCAUGCACGAAAGCGUGGGGAGCAAACAGGAUUAGAUACCCUGGUAGUCCACGCGUAAACGUUUGGGGCGCUAGAUGUGGGGACCAUCCACGGUUCGUGUCGCAGCUAA
This 511-nucleotide ribosomal RNA is filed under the name uncultured bacterium. RNAcentral describes it as "partial 16S ribosomal RNA". It matches the Rfam family "Bacterial small subunit ribosomal RNA", at positions 355 to 855 of the family's 1533-position model. The record is from RNAcentral.